GGAUGUGAGGGUGCUCUGACUGUGACAUCUGUCACCCCACUGAUUGUCAGGGUUCAUAUUUGGCUGGGGGUGAUUGCCAGGGUUGAUUUGGCUGACCUGGUUGGCUAGGCGGGUGUCCCCCUCCUCCCUCACCACUCCACGUGUGUCCCCCCCAAAGCUGUGUGCUUGGUCAACAAGGACAACCACCCCCAACAGAGGAGGACCGGUCUUCGGAAGUAGCUGGGCUCCCCUGAUAGAACCUUCAAACAAGCUCUCAAGAAUGUGGAAAAUCUGAAACUCACAUUGCUGGUUGCUGGAAAGAAUAUAAAAUGCUGCAAACACUUUAAAAAGCAUUUUGGCAGUUU
RNAcentral lists this small nuclear RNA (344 nucleotides) under Aotus nancymaae (Ma's night monkey). Its description in RNAcentral is "7SK RNA (ENSANAG00000008036.1)". It matches the Rfam family "7SK RNA". From Rfam's summary of the family: 7SK was discovered as an abundant small nuclear RNA in the mid-70s but a possible function has only recently been suggested. Two independent studies have found that 7SK RNA binds the CDK9/cyclin T complex (known as elongation factor P-TEFb). The record is from Rfam by way of RNAcentral. Lineage: Eukaryota; Metazoa; Chordata; Mammalia; Primates; Aotidae.